UUUGGCACUUGGCUCUGAUGCAAAAAACAAGAACAACAACAAAACAAAACAGGAAUGAAUGAGCCAAUGAACUGGUGUGGCACAGAAUUUGAGGAGGUUCUGCUGGACUAGAAAUCCUGGUUCCCAGUGGGACUACCCUUCUACCAAGGAACAUGGUAAGCUUAGAGAAAUCCCUGUCUCUGAUCCAGAAGAACCUCAAAACUCAGAAUGGAGGGAAGAACUUCAUG
Molecule: long non-coding RNA, 227 nt
Organism: Mustela erminea (ermine)
Lineage: Eukaryota; Metazoa; Chordata; Mammalia; Carnivora; Mustelidae
Exons: 3
Source: RefSeq, a predicted model, not a curated record